GCUUGGCCCUAAACCUCAGUAGUUAGAUAACAAAACUACUCGCCAGAAUACUACAAGCUACAGCUUAAAACUCAAAGGACUUGACGGUGCUUUACACCCCCUAGAGGAGCCUGUUCCGUAAUCGAUAAACCCCGAUCCACCCCACCCUCUCUUGCUCAGCCUAUAUACCGCCAUCUUCAGCAAACCCUAAUGAAGGUCACAAAGUGAGCGCAAACGCCGUCGCCGCGAAUACGUUAGGUCAAGGUGUAGCCUAUGAGACGGUAAAAAAUGGGCUACAUUUUCUACCUCAGAAAAUUCCACGAAAACCCUUAUGAAAUUUAAGGGCCCAAGGAGGAUUUAGCAGUAAAUUAAGAAUAGAGUGCUUAAUUGAACCAGGCCAUAAAGCGCGCACACACCGCCCGUCGUUCUU
This 409-nucleotide ribosomal RNA is filed under the name Macaca mulatta (Rhesus monkey). Its description in RNAcentral is "partial 12S ribosomal RNA". It matches the Rfam family "Bacterial small subunit ribosomal RNA", at positions 794 to 1404 of the family's 1533-position model. The record is from RNAcentral. Lineage: Eukaryota; Metazoa; Chordata; Mammalia; Primates; Cercopithecidae.